Molecule: ribosomal RNA, 496 nt
Filed under: uncultured bacterium
Lineage: Bacteria
Description: partial 16S ribosomal RNA
Rfam family: Bacterial small subunit ribosomal RNA
Source: RNAcentral
GAUGAACGCUGGCGGCGUGCCUAAUACAUGCAAGUCGAGCGAACAGACGAGGAGCUUGCUCCUCUGACGUUAGCGGCGGACGGGUGAGUAACACGUGGAUAACCUACCUAUAAGACUGGGAUAACUUCGGGAAACCGGAGCUAAUACCGGAUAAUAUAUUGAACCGCAUGGUUCAAUAGUGAAAGACGGUUUUGCUGUCACUUAUAGAUGGAUCCGCGCCGCAUUGGUUAGUUGGUACGGUAACGGCGUACCGAGGCAACGAUGCGUAGCCGACCUGAGAGGGGGAUGGGCCACGGUGGAGGUGAGACGCGGUCCAGGCUCCUACGGGAGGCAGCAGUAGGGAAGCGUGCGCAAUGGGCGAAAGCUUGACGGAGCAACGCCGCGUGAGUGAAGAAGGUCUGCGGAUCGUAAAACUCUGUUAUUAGGGAAGAACAAAUGUGUAAGUAACGAUGCACGUCUGGACGGUACCUAAUCAGAAAGCCACGGCUAACUACGU